GACGAACGCUGGCGGCGUGCCUAAUACAUGCAAGUCGAACGCAAAGUUUAUACCGUAGCUUGCUACACGAUAGACUAUGAGGUGCGAACGGGUGAGUAACGCGUAGGUAACCUGCCUGGUAGCGGGGGAUAACUAUUGGUAACACUAGCUAAUACCUCCUAAUAUUAAUUAUUGCAUGAUAAUUAACUGAAAGGUGCAAUUGCAUCACUACUUGAUGGCCUUGCGUUGUAUUAGCUAGUAGGCGAGGUAACGGCUCACCUAGGCGACGAUACAUAGACGACCGGAGAGGGUGAGCGGCCAGACUGGGACUGAGACAGGGCACAGACGCCUACGGGAAGGAGCAGUAGGGAAACGGCAGCAAUGGGCGAAAGUCUGUCCGAACAAGGCCGAGGGAGUGAAGAAGAUUGUCGGAUCGGAAAGCUCGGUUGUAAGAGAAGAACGGGUGUGAGAGUGGAAAGUUGACACAGUGACGGUAACUGAUAAGAAAGGAACGGCUAACUACGUG
Molecule: ribosomal RNA, 505 nt
Filed under: uncultured bacterium
Lineage: Bacteria
Description: partial 16S ribosomal RNA
Rfam family: Bacterial small subunit ribosomal RNA
Source: RNAcentral